AGAAUUGUCAAGUUUAAAAUGUUAGUUGUGCUGUUUGGAAGUUUUGAAACCCAUUGUCCUGAUUUAUCCAAUGAAAAUCCUCUUCGGAACAUACAGUACAUACAGGGAAGAACAGAGGAUGAGGUGACACAGGAGAGGAGGGAUGAGGAGUCAGGAACAGAG
Molecule: long non-coding RNA, 162 nt
Organism: Eurytemora carolleeae
Lineage: Eukaryota; Metazoa; Arthropoda; Copepoda; Calanoida; Temoridae
Exons: 3
Source: RefSeq, a predicted model, not a curated record